Molecule: ribosomal RNA, 276 nt
Filed under: uncultured bacterium
Lineage: Bacteria
Description: partial 16S ribosomal RNA
Rfam family: Bacterial small subunit ribosomal RNA
Source: RNAcentral
GUCAACCUACGGGGGGCAGCAGUGAGGAAUAUUGGUCAAUGGGCGGUAGCCUGAACCAGCCAAGUAGCGUGAAGGAUGAAGGUUCUAUGGAUUGUAAACUUCUUUUAUAAAGGAAUAAAGUGAGGCACGUGUGCCUUUUUGUAUGUACUUUAUGAAUAAGGAUCGGCUAACUCCGUGCCAGCAGCCGCGGUAAUACGGGGGCUCCGAGCGUUAUCCGGAUUUAUUGGGUUUAUAGGGAGCGUAGAUGGGUUGGUAAGUCAGUUGUGAAAGUUUGCG